Homarus americanus (American lobster) is the source of this 950-nucleotide long non-coding RNA. RefSeq lists it as uncharacterized. Lineage: Eukaryota; Metazoa; Arthropoda; Malacostraca; Decapoda; Nephropidae. The record is from RefSeq and is a predicted model, not a curated record. The transcript is spliced from 3 exons.
UAUACGGGAAACACAUUGUGACUUUCUAUUGUACCACAAUCCUGAGUGUUGGAUAUGUUACAUGUACGUCCGUUGUGAGGCCAAUAAGAGGCCCUGACAACCUGCCACAACAGUACGCCACAUAUGCCCAUACAAAGAGACAAUAGAUAACUAAAGAGAAUUGACAACUGCCCAUGUGUUGUGUAAUGGCAGACCCUGCUGCCAUAUGUGACCAAGUCUCAGGUUGAUGAUCUCACUUUCUGCCUCAUUACUGAUAUUACAGAGACGGUUUGUUAUUUAAUAAACAAAGAUAUGGUUAAGAAUAUUAGGAAAAAGUUCUGUAAGUUUAACAUAAGAUUGUAGAUUUUAUGCAUAUCUGUUUUAGGAUUAGUAGAAUGUUAAAGAGCUCUUGUUAAGACUUGUUUUGGGAGGGCGAGUUAACAUACUGACCAGCUCCUUUUGGUGUAAUGGUCAAUAAAUGUUUGGAAUUUGAAUUGGAUAUUUAAUUUCUUACGUAAAUUUCUAAUUUAUUUAAAUUACUUAAUUGACCAUAAACUUAUAUUAAAAUCUGUAUAUACGAUGAAGUUUGUAUUAGAGUUAACCAUUUGGACGACGUGGUGGGUGGAAGGAGGAGGGUCUAUGACGUGCAAACAGUUCAGUUACCUCCAGGAGACAGUCGAGGCAGUGUGUCGCUCUGAGCUCUACAUCUUACUCCACGUUUCUUCUACGGUGACGGCUUCAGCUGGUGGUUACUGUAGUGUUAAGACAGCCACCAUAUUGCUGCCUCACUGAUCAUGGUUAAUAACUGAAGUUCCUCGUGUCAACCAUUGAGAUGAGUUAACGACCCUUGGGGAAUUGAACAGCGCCAUAACAACUGAAAAUGAUAACUACAGACUGAGACAGAUGUAAUGAGACAAAUCUCACAAGAAGAAGAUUACAUAUAGGUAGAAUAUUGAUAGUAUAAGAGUAUA